UUUGUGGCGUCUUCUUACUGUACAUCAUACAUAAAUCUGGUAUUCUUAUGCUUGUUCUGGUUGGUUUCGAGAUAUUGGUCAUCAUUCACUAAAACUUGCUGGUGUACUUGUUAAGCUGUGAGGAUCAUAAUGGGGGAAUAACUGAUAUUUUGCUGAUUUGCUAUUGAAACUAAGGAACUUUUUACAAUAAUACUUUUCUUACCAUGUGAGUGCUUGCGUGGAGCAGAUUGAGAUCUCGGGCUUUCACUAAAUGACGUGGUCGGUGGACAACUGGGAAUUCAACAAUGCAGCGGUAGCAGAUUUGUGGAAAGGUCAGUAAACCCCUGCUGAAAUUCGUGAUGGGUUUAGCUAUGGUAGAUUGAAUUCAGUGUGCAAUUGUCGAACUCUUAUUGCCUCGUGAGACCUAGGUUAGAGAACUUCCUGCUUUCUUGAUAAGUUAGCAGUCUAGCUUUUGAGCACGCUCAUAAUCUCUGAAUGCAUUGUCAUGCUGAAUUAAGUUACACAAGAGAGUUUUCAGCUGAUACAUAUAGUUGUAAAGGUAGAGAACACUUGUUACUAGGUGAUUGAUGAAAAAGGCUCGAGCUUGCUAAUUUUUAUUCCUAGAACCUCCGGAGUAUUUUUCUGUCCCACCAAUGCCAAAAAUAGCAUAUUUCAUUAGCCAUUGACUAUUGCAAUCUGAAUUUUUAGUGCGUAUUGUUAAGUUUGAUGUUCCUCCAGUCUGAAGUCUUUGAAAUCCAGUCAUUCCAUCAUCGGGAUAUCACAACCUCUGCCAGUGUACAUAUACAAAUCCCAGAAAAUAAUCCAUUCCUUCCAUUGCACAUCUCUCGCUAUCCCACAGUAGUUGAUUAUUCCAUAAGCAUACUCAUCAAGUUAAAGAAGACUCAAAAGCACUUUGUUGUCAUUGACCUUGCAAAUUUCAACAUUAUGAGGAGCUAUAUAUUCGUCAAUAUUGAUGCCUCUCUCCAAAAAAUCAAAAAAUAAAUAAAGAAAAAGAGUGAGGGUCACCGUUCAAAAGAUCAAAGGUUCACCCCCAAGCAGGAAGAAAUAGUCAGCACUGCUUCCAUAUUCAUGUGCAGAAUGCAGAAUGGCUAAUCAAACUACUACCUAUGCAAUAUUGACAGCUUGAGCAUCAGUCGCAUCCUGAGAUCACCUUGCAUUGCGUAGGCAUCUCAAUUAUUUCUUUGGCGUGAGUCCAUCCCUCCCACAUCCCCUGGACAGUGGACGCUACCUUUCCCCAAUGACUGGAAUGUGGAGACUUCUUUGUACUGGAGUUGAACUCUUAUUUAGCUUUACAAUCUAGAGUUCAGAUUUGCUCAUUCUUUGAAUUACCCAACCAAGCUCCAUAUAAGCUUUCCACAAAUAUAAAGUAGAUACAAAACACUUCGGCCACUGGCCAGUGAGGACUAUCAUUAUGUGAUGAGAGUAAUUCCGGAUCAUGACGAGGUAAUCUCACUAGAUACCUGCUCUUCGAAGGUUCAGAAUGGAAUAAAAUUGUUGGCUGCUCUUGUGCUCUUUUGUUCUUCAAAUUGAAGUCAAACAUCGUAGUGACUUGUGUUCAAAAACUGGAUUACUAUAUCGUUGAUGCUGUUCACUCUCAUAAAAUGGAACAUAUUCCGUACUGGCAAUGAAUAGGAGUUAUUAUUUAAGCUUGUGCUCAAUUGUUAGCCUGCUUCUUUGAUAAGUCUGUGGGAAGUGUCUCUGUCUGAAGCUCAUGAGGAUUAUAGUAAUUGUUUGCACAUGAGCACUUGUUUGCAAUCUAGCUAUGCUAAUCUUUCAGGUAGUAUUUCACAAGCAUGCGGGCAAGUUGAAUCAGGAGCCUAAAUCAUCUGGCUGCCAUUGGCUGCGAUCCGAGACUCUUCUUUCUCAAGGGAAGAAUCAGAAAGGGAGAAGACUGAGAUGAAUCAUACCCAUCCUUUUGUUUAUCUUUGUAGCUACUUGCUUCAUAACAAUGUUAUAAGGAGGAGAGAAUGGGGUUUCCCACUUAUUAUUUCUCUUCUAGCUUCAGUCUGUAGUAGCUAUCGAUGAAUGGUACGAAAACAGGCCAAAUUUUUCAUUCAUUCUUUUCAGUGUGGACAUCUAUAUUCAGUAUAAUGUGCAAUAUCUUCAUAUC
This is a long non-coding RNA of Hordeum vulgare subsp. vulgare (domesticated barley), 2110 nucleotides long. RefSeq lists it as uncharacterized. The transcript has 4 exons. Lineage: Eukaryota; Viridiplantae; Streptophyta; Magnoliopsida; Poales; Poaceae. The record is from RefSeq and is a predicted model, not a curated record.